UCCUGUAAAUUGGGAGGUGGGGCCUUAAUGGACUGUACUAGUGUGUCCAGUACAACCCACAGAUCCCUGACUGGAUUGAGAUUUUGGGAAGGUCCAAAAAAUCUGGGAGACACCCACGAUAUAUACGUGAUGCAUGAAAAAGUAACAUUAUUUGACAUAAAUGGCUGGAUCCGAGUUUUCAACGAAAAAACAUUGUGCAGUGCACCACACGUCCUCCACCAGCUUGCCUCCUUCCCAAAGUGCAUCUUGACAUCUCUUGCAUAGGCAGCGGUGGCGUCAACCAGUUUCCUCAAACGGCCGAAGAUGGAAUGCACAGUCUUAUGAAGGAAGUCAUUUGGGGUAUUUCUGAGAACCUCCUGAAGUCCUCCAGUGUGCGAGGCUUUGUCCUGUACAGCUCCUCCUUUGCGCAGCCCCACAGGAAAAAAAUCACACGGAGUAAGAUCUGGACUUCUUGGAGGCCGUUCAUGAGUUGUGCAUCGCCCCAGCCAACGUCCUGGAAAAUGCUGAUCUAACCACGCCACCGAAGUAAGAGCCAAAUGGGGUGGUGCACCAACGGGUGGUGCUCCAGUGAUACUACAAGUUCUACAGCCACUAAAUAUUGCCCAGUUCAUUUUCAUCUACUCUGUAUAUGCAAAUACAUACAGUAUACAGCACACUGUAUAUACAGAGUAAGGCUUAAAGAAUCAAAAGGUUGUUAAUAUUUCUGUGCGAAAUGGCAUAUCACAAAAGUGUUUAUAGAAAAAACAUUCGAGGAAUUGUUGGGUUUACACACUCAUUUUUUCUUAAACAUAUAGAUAUUAUGUAUUUCUAAUGCUGAGUUUCAAAUGAUAAAAAAUAAUACAAAAAUAAUACAAAUAAUAAAUGAUUUGCAUGAUUUAUCUGUCACGCUCUGAUAUACUUGCUGG
This is a long non-coding RNA of Clarias gariepinus (North African catfish), 905 nucleotides long. RefSeq lists it as uncharacterized. Lineage: Eukaryota; Metazoa; Chordata; Actinopteri; Siluriformes; Clariidae. The record is from RefSeq and is a predicted model, not a curated record. The transcript has 3 exons.